This 74-nucleotide transfer RNA is filed under the name Ophiophagus hannah (king cobra). It matches the Rfam family "tRNA". Rfam says of the family: Transfer RNA (tRNA) molecules are approximately 80 nucleotides in length. Their secondary structure includes four short double-helical elements and three loops (D, anti-codon, and T loops). Lineage: Eukaryota; Metazoa; Chordata; Lepidosauria; Squamata; Elapidae. The record is from Rfam by way of RNAcentral.
GGCAGUUUGGUCUUGUGGUGACAGACACCAGGCUAGAAACCAGGAGACUGUGAGUUCGAGUCCCUCUUUAGCUA